GCCAGGUGUGGUGGUGUGCACCUGUAAUCCCAGCUACUGGGGAGGCUGAGGCAGGAGAAUUGCUUGAACCCAGGAGCUGGAGGUUGCAGUGAGCCGAGACAGUGCCACUGCGCUCCAGCCUGGGUGACAAAGCAAGACUCUGUCUCAA
Pongo abelii (Sumatran orangutan) is the source of this 148-nucleotide unclassified non-coding RNA. It matches the Rfam family "Metazoan signal recognition particle RNA". From Rfam's summary of the family: The signal recognition particle (SRP) is a universally conserved ribonucleoprotein. It is involved in the co-translational targeting of proteins to membranes. The eukaryotic SRP consists of a 300-nucleotide 7S RNA and six proteins: SRPs 72, 68, 54, 19, 14, and 9. The record is from Ensembl. Lineage: Eukaryota; Metazoa; Chordata; Mammalia; Primates; Hominidae.